This is a long non-coding RNA of Myodes glareolus (Bank vole), 1701 nucleotides long. RefSeq lists it as uncharacterized. The record is from RefSeq and is a predicted model, not a curated record. Lineage: Eukaryota; Metazoa; Chordata; Mammalia; Rodentia; Cricetidae.
UUUGAUGUCACAUGUGUACUACCAACUCCAAGUAGACCCUGAACACUGAGGAGUGCCUGCGACCUGAGAGCCGCCACGGCCAGAAUAUAGAGAGGGACAGCUAAAGCCCACGGGCACCAAAACAAGGCUCCAGGAACAGGUUCGGGGCCUAGCUCCUCCCAGAGAUGUCUCUUUACAAGAUGGUUGUUUAUCAGUACCUGACCUGUCUAGAAUGUGGAAGUGAUGCAGGCCACACUGGAGCAUGGCAGAAUGGUUCGUUCUCAUUGUCACCUGACUGGAUUUGGAAACACCGGGGAGACACGCCUCUGAGCAUGUCCAGGGGCCCUUUCCAGAGUUGACUGAGGAAGGACGACUCACCCUGAGUGUGGGCUGAAACAUCCCACGAGCUGGGAUCUUUUUCUUUUUUUAAAGAUUUAUUUUAUUUUUAUUUUAUACAUGUGAAUGUUUUGCCUGCAUGUAUGUGCCACAUGCCUUCUUCCAGUACCUUCCGUCCCUCUGGGUGGAUCUACUUUUCUGACUGAGGACCUACCAAGUUCACAGGUGCCAGAUCUGGGGCUGGGCACAGCUUGCUUCCCUUGGUCACUUGCUCCAUGCUGCUGAGCUGGAGCCCUCGCAGCCUGCGGCAGUCAGUGUCUGUCUUCCCACUUUGCCAGCUCCCUAACCCUAACCUCAACCCUGAGGUUGGCCAGGGAAGCGGGUGUGCCAUCACACACCCAGGCUGUGACUCUGGGCCGAGUGCCCCACUCGAGAAUACUGGUGUGGGGUUCUGAGCAGUUUCUUCUGUCAUGGUCCUCCUCCCUCUGACUCAUCUGGCCAGAAGGGCAAUGAAACCUUUCCAGAUUUUUUACCAUCUGUGAGAACCCAGGGUUUGCCAAAUGCAAAUUUAUGUGGUAACAGGUGCUUUCAGAAGCGCGUCAGACUCACAAGGCACAGCUCCCAUCAAGUGUGAACUGAAUGGACUUACCGUUGUUGCCAGGGACUAGAGGGCCCCUGCCACCCACACUAUGACCUGGAGUUUCCAUCUCAGCACCAACACAGAGGAGAGACCUCAGCUGACCUCGGCCACCGGGGUUGCCCUCUCUGAGCACCUGCUGGGGUGUCACCACCUGUUGGGGUUUUUGCCUGGAAGGCCCUGGACCAACCCAGAAACCAACAGUGAUGUCAGCCCCAGGAGCCAGGACUCUGUGCCAGCCUGGCUGUUUGGAGAGCCUGUGACUGCAUGGGAGAGGAAAGGCCAGUGCCCAGUGCCCAGGCUGGCAGGUUCAGGAGGAAUGGGAGCGCAUGUGCACCUUGUAUCCGAUCCCCUCAUCAGCACUACACAGCUGUGCUGGGGAAGAUUAUUUUAAGGCUCUCCUUUCAGUCAGCACUUGGGCUGCUCAGAGCCUGGACUGAAGAGCACCUCCCAGCGUUAGAUUGUGUCUCCCAGUCUCGAAGACACACAGACACAUUUGGAAUAAGAAAAUCACCUUCCCAGCUUACUGAGGAUUCAGAGAGCCUGGCUGCAGGCUCAUGUUGUGAAACCACCCCCUUCUUCAGAGAACUGGAACAGAGAAGCCCCACUCCCUCCUUGUGAGCCUGACUCCUCCUCAGAGGCCCUGCCAUGCCGCUAUGCCGCCAUAUUGCCAUGCGGCCAGCCUCUGGUGCUGGGGCCUGAACUCUCCUCAGAGCCUCCACCAUUCUGUUGUCUGUCUGUCCACAGCA